GCAGGCGCGAAAACUCUACACUGCGGGAAACCGCGAUAAGGGGAUACUGAGUGCCAGCAUAUUAUGUUGGCUGUCCAUAUGUAUAAAUAGCAUGUGUUAGCAAGGGCCGGGCAAGACCGGUGCCAGCCGCCGCGGUAACACCGGCGGCCCGAGUGGUGGCCACUAUUAUURGGUCUAAAGGGUCCGUAGCCGGUUUGAUCAGUCUUCCGGGAAAUCUGACAGCUCAACUGUUAGGCUUCUGGGGGAUACUGUCAGACUUGGGACCGGGAGAGGUAAGAGGUACUACAGGGGUAGGAGUGAAAUCUUGUAAUCCUUGUGGGACCACCAGUGGCGAAGGCGUCUUACCAGAACGGGUCCGACGGUGAGGGACGAAAGCUGGGGGCACGAACCGGAUUAGAUACCCGGGUAGUCCCAGCCGUAAACGAUGCUCGCUAGGUGUNUGGGACGGUGCGACCGUUUCACGGUGCCGCAGGGAAGC
This 478-nucleotide ribosomal RNA is filed under the name uncultured Methanosarcinaceae archaeon. Its description in RNAcentral is "bacterial SSU rRNA". It matches the Rfam family "Archaeal small subunit ribosomal RNA", at positions 335 to 812 of the family's 1478-position model. The record is from RNAcentral. Lineage: Archaea; Methanobacteriati; Methanobacteriota; Methanomicrobia; Methanosarcinales; Methanosarcinaceae.